This is a long non-coding RNA of Alnus glutinosa, 742 nucleotides long. RefSeq lists it as uncharacterized. The transcript has 3 exons. NCBI's taxonomy places the organism in Eukaryota, Viridiplantae, Streptophyta, Magnoliopsida, Fagales, Betulaceae. The record is from RefSeq and is a predicted model, not a curated record.
UUUCUUUCUUUUUUUCCUUUCUCCCUUGGCAUUCACGCACAGCCCCUAUUCCCUUUUCUUUCCUUUUCUCUUCUUCUUCUUCCAUUCCUCCCUUCUUAUCACACACGUACCGCCCUCUCCAUUUCUUCCUAUCUCUUUUCUUCGGCACACACACGCGCACACCCCCAACCAUGAGAGACCGAUUGAGAGAGAGAGAGAACCGAUAUAAGCUUGAGAACCCGUUGAACCCAUGAACCCGAAACCAACAAAGAGAGACCCGAUCCUUCGGUGGGUUGUUCAUGGGUCGACACCAACGUAGCCAAAGGUGCGAUUUUCAGGGAUUUUUGGUGGAAUUUUCGGUGUAGAAUGAAAAUCCCCUAUGAUCGUGUUCGGAUUGGAGACUUUAAUUGGUUCUCCAAUCUAGAGUUCAAGUAACUAGAACACGGGGGAAUGUUGGAGUCAUGAGUCCAAUGCAGCUAAGAUGUUUGUUUGGCUGCAGGUAUUCCGGUCGUAGUCAAUAGCAUUGUAGAAGGGUACAUCGGAUGUUAUGUUUGUAGCACGCUGCAACGGUCGUAAUUGGUGGACCACGGGUCGUCCACUUGUUUAUAAGUUUGGUUUAUGGCUUGUGACGCGUGUGUCACUUAAUCUUGUAAAGCCAUUUCUGUUAUGUAUUUAUAUUGAGGAAAGACUUAAACAGAUAGAAGUAAUAUGACUCUUUGUCUAUGAUUAUUUGUAAUAGAAGUUUAUGUUAUGAUUUCCGCUA